This 196-nucleotide RNase P RNA is filed under the name Gammaproteobacteria bacterium. RNAcentral's name for it is "partial RNase P RNA component class A". It matches the Rfam family "Bacterial RNase P class A", at positions 157 to 367 of the family's 367-position model. From Rfam's summary of the family: Ribonuclease P (RNase P) is a ubiquitous endoribonuclease, found in archaea, bacteria and eukarya as well as chloroplasts and mitochondria. Lineage: Bacteria; Pseudomonadati; Pseudomonadota; Gammaproteobacteria. The record is from RNAcentral.
AAAUGGUGCGGUAAGAGCGCACCGCGUGACUGGUAACAGGAGCGGCAUGGUAAACCCUACCUGGAGCAAGAUCAAAUAGAGGAGCAGACGCGCGGCCCGCGCGGCUCCUGGGUAGAUCGCUUGAGCCAUAAGGUGACUUAUGGCCUAGAUGAAUGACUGUCCUAGACAAAACCCGGCUUAUCGACCAACUCUAUCU